This 139-nucleotide small nuclear RNA is filed under the name Callorhinchus milii (elephant shark). RNAcentral's name for it is "U2 spliceosomal RNA (ENSCMIG00000019920.1)". It matches the Rfam family "U2 spliceosomal RNA". Rfam says of the family: U2 is a small nuclear RNA (snRNA) component of the spliceosome (involved in pre-mRNA splicing). Complementary binding between U2 snRNA (in an area lying towards the 5' end but 3' to hairpin I) and the branchpoint sequence (BPS) of the intron results the bulging out of an unpaired adenosine, on the BPS, which initiates a nucleophilic attack at the intronic 5' splice site, thus starting the first of two transesterification reactions that mediate splicing. Lineage: Eukaryota; Metazoa; Chordata; Chondrichthyes; Chimaeriformes; Callorhinchidae. The record is from RNAcentral.
AUUGUUUCUCGGCCUUUUGGCUAAGAUCUAGUAUAGUAUUUGUUCUUAUCAGUUACUUGCUUGAGAUAUGCACCAACCAGAAAGAUCUUCCUUUGAGAUUGACUUGUGUAUGCAGCGCCACGACUGAAUCUCCCCAUAA